RNAcentral lists this ribosomal RNA (429 nucleotides) under Chloroflexota bacterium. RNAcentral's name for it is "Chloroflexi bacterium partial 16S ribosomal RNA". It matches the Rfam family "Bacterial small subunit ribosomal RNA", at positions 355 to 776 of the family's 1533-position model. Lineage: Bacteria; Bacillati; Chloroflexota. The record is from RNAcentral. RNAcentral also lists the same sequence under 1 other name.
UGGGGAAUAUUGCACAAUGGGCGCAAGCCUGAUGCAGCCAUGCCGCGUGUAUGAAGAAGGCCUUCGGGUUGUAAAGUACUUUCAGCGGGGAGGAAGGGAGUAAAGUUAAUACCUUUGCUCAUUGACGUUACCCGCAGAAGAAGCACCGGCUAACUCCGUGCCAGCAGCCGCGGUAAUACGGAGGGUGCAAGCGUUAAUCGGAAUUACUGGGCGUAAAGCGCACGCAGGCGGUUUGUUAAGUCAGAUGUGAAAUCCCCGGGCUCAACCUGGGAACUGCAGCUGAUACUGGCAAGCUUGAGUCUCGUAGAGGGGGGUAGAAUUCCAGGUGUAGCGGUGAAAUGCGUAGAGAUCUGGAGGAAUACCGGUGGCGAAGGCGGCCCCCUGGACGAAGACUGACGCUCAGGUGCGAAAGCGUGGGGAGCAAACAGG